GUAACUUUUCACAGAAAGGAGAUCUUGCAUCUGAGCGAGGAGCAUUGUGCUACUGAGCUGGUGAGCUCAGCCCUUCCUGGGCUCCAGUGCCUUAAUUUGUAAAGAAGGAAUUCUGAGGCUAUCAGAAAGGAAGUCAAAUUGUUUUCGGAAAACAAUAGCAAAGUAACUACAAGUCAUUAGCUUCCUCCCUGGGGCCUGAAAUCAGGUUAGUCGGGGGAGCUACAAGGACUGGUAGCACUGUUUACUUACAGACCUCUGGACAGGACCCAUAAAUUAAUUCCUGUGCAGGACUUUCUGGAAUGAGGGGAGGUGAGUCAUGAAAGUGGGAGAAUGCCUGAGAGUGUAGAAGAGAUUUUCAUUUCUUCGGGGCGCAGCUAAAUCCCUCACACUGGCCUGCCUUUUCUGGUCCUCUGGGUGAGAGUUUUAUUUGGAUUCAAACAUAGGCCCAGCAGACAUCUGCCCUCUGAGAUGGUUCUUAGUAAGUUUCUUCCCAGAGCAGAAAAUCGAAAGCAAGCCAUGUUCCCUGCCCUCUUUCUGGAGGCCUCUGGGAAGACAAAUGUUUCUCAGGAAGGUCGGGGCUCCUCUGGGGGCUGAGAAUUGUGAAAGAGGAGGAAAGAAACGAUGCCCAGAGAAGAAUGGAAUGUAUGGGGCAGGGAAGAACAGUGUUCGAGUACCAGUUGGCCUCUGUCCCAAUCUUCCUGAAGUCUGGCCCUGAAUAAAACCAAUAAUAACAAUCACACUAGCUUUUAUUGCCCAUUUUGUGAGACUCAUUUCUUCUCAGUAAAACUCUUUUCCUUUAGGCUAUUAUCCCCUUGUAAUUAAAACAAUAUUUUGUAUCCUCCACGUGGGAUUCCUUUGAAACAGUGUGGAUAAUACACAAUGACACUCUGAAAGCUUUUAUUUAGUUUCUCUUGAGUCAAAGCAGAAGCUUCCAGGACAGAUUUAUCAUGCUAGGUCUGGAGAGUUAUCUCAACUCACAUGCAAGAUAGCGGAGCCCCAGGAGAGAUUCAAAGCUCCCUUUCUGGUGUGAAGAAGGUGCAAAUAUAAGAUCAUCUCUGAACCUGUCAUCGAGCCGAAUGACAUAUCACCUGUAGGGUCACUGGAGGAAGUGUGGGGGCUGUAACACAAGCAGAGCAGAGAAGGAGGCCUUAUCCCUUCUAAGCAAACCAUCC
Molecule: long non-coding RNA, 1172 nt
Filed under: Sus scrofa (pig)
Lineage: Eukaryota; Metazoa; Chordata; Mammalia; Artiodactyla; Suidae
Description: lncRNA (ENSSSCG00070002135.1)
Source: RNAcentral